Long non-coding RNA from Aethalodelphis obliquidens (Pacific white-sided dolphin), 485 nucleotides. RefSeq lists it as uncharacterized. The record is from RefSeq and is a predicted model, not a curated record. The transcript has 2 exons. Lineage: Eukaryota; Metazoa; Chordata; Mammalia; Artiodactyla; Delphinidae.
CCCAGGGACCACAUUUUGAGAACAGCCUUUCAAAACUCUGCAGUAUGCGGUAAUGUGUGUUGUGAAUGCAGUAUGCAGUUGUGUGUGUUGUGAAUGAGACGGGCCCAGAGAACCAAAGGAGGGCAAAGGGACUCUGCCCUAAAUUAGCCAAAGGUAAAAAUAGCAGCUAGAAUUGAUUGACCCAAGAAAAAAUUAUAAGAACUUUACCUGCAUUUUCUCAUUUAAUCCUUUCAGUAAGGUACAUAGGUGCUACUUAGUGUUCCUCUUUUACAGGGGUGUCCAGAGAAGGUAACUACUUUGCCCACGUCCUAAACUGCCUAGCCCUGUGGUCUUGGGCUAAUCACUAACCUGCUUAGAUACAAUUUUCUUCUCUAUGAAAUAGAAACAAUAUUAUAUGCUUUGAAGGACUGCAGGAAGAUGAGCUGUAAUGUUUAUCAAGUGCCUAGUAAGUAGCCUGACCCAUAAUAAAUACUUGGCUAAUUGUA